Long non-coding RNA from Helianthus annuus (common sunflower), 506 nucleotides. RefSeq lists it as uncharacterized. The transcript has 2 exons. The record is from RefSeq and is a predicted model, not a curated record. NCBI's taxonomy places the organism in Eukaryota, Viridiplantae, Streptophyta, Magnoliopsida, Asterales, Asteraceae.
UCUAAAAGUGAUCUGAAUCCAAAAGAUGAUCCAGUUCAAAAGAUCAUCAUCCAGAUGCUCCAGGUCUAGAAGAUCAUCAUCCAGAUGUUCGAUGUUUGAACAUGAUAUUCCAAAUCCAGAAGAUCCUCCUCCAGAUCCGGUUGAAGAUGAUCGAUGUUGAAGAUGAUGUGAUGGCGGUUCGAUGUUGAAGAUGACCCAAAAGAUGUUCGAUGUUUAAACAUGAUGUUCCAGAUCUAGAAGAUCCUCCAGGUCCAUAAUUCAGUGGAUGUCCGUUUAUAAGGUGGAUCGACCAACCCAUGUGCCACCGAUUUGCUAUGAUUAUUCCGGGACUAUUGAGAACUAUUAACAGGCUACAAGUUAAGGUUAUAGCUCGUGAAGAUGAAAUUAGAAAGAAGAAAACCAUUACUUGAUUUAUCAUUUUCGUUGUUGUAACUUCCACAAUGUUUGUUUGUACUCCUGGAUUGAUUUCAAAGUUUUUAUAUUUAAUGUGUAACUUUCCUUUGGCU